GAACGAAAGAGUUUGAUCCUGGCUCAGAUUGAACGCUGGCGGCAUGCUUUACACAUGCAAGUCGAACGGUAACAGGGACUUCGGUCUGCUGACGAGUGGCGAACGGGUGAGUAAUGCAUCGGAACGUACCGAGUAAUGGGGGAUAACGCAUCGAAAGGUGUGCUAAUACCGCAUACGCCCUGAGGGGGAAAGCGGGGGAUCGAAAGACCUCGCGUUAUUCGAGCGGCCGAUGCCGGAUUAGCUAGUUGGUGGGGUAAAGGCUCACCAAGGCGACGAUCCGUAGCAGGUCUGAGAGGAUGAUCUGCCACACUGGGACUGAGACACGGCCCAGACUCCUACGGGAGGCAGCAGUGGGGAAUUUUGGACAAUGGGGGCAACCCUGAUCCAGCCAUGCCGCGUGUCUGAAGAAGGCCUUCGGGUUGUAAAGGACUUUUGUCAGGGAGGAAAUCCCUAAGG
Molecule: ribosomal RNA, 456 nt
Filed under: Laribacter hongkongensis
Lineage: Bacteria; Pseudomonadati; Pseudomonadota; Betaproteobacteria; Neisseriales; Aquaspirillaceae
Description: bacterial SSU rRNA
Rfam family: Bacterial small subunit ribosomal RNA
Source: RNAcentral